GAUGAACGCUGGCGGCGUGCCUAAUACAUGCCAGUCGAGCGAACGGACGAGAAGCUUGCUUCUCUGAUGUUAGCGGCGGACGGGUGAGUAACACGUGGAUAACCUACCUAUAAGACUGGGAUAACUUCGGGAAACCGGAGCUAAUACCGGAUAAUAUUUUGAACCGCAUGGUUCAAAAGUGAAAGACGGUCUUGCUGUCACUUAUAGAUGGAUCCGCGCUGCAUUAGCUAGUUGGUAAGGUAACGGCUUACCAAGGCAACGAUGCAUAGCCGACCUGAGAGGGUGAUCGGCCACACUGGAACUGAGACACGGUCCAGACUCCUACGGGAGGCAGCAGUAGGGAAUCUUCCGCAAUGGGCGAAGGCCUGACGGAGCAACGCCGCGUGAGUGAUGAAGGUCUUCGGAUCGUAAAACUCUGUUAUUAGGGAAGAACAUAUGUGUAAGUAACUGUGCACAUCUUGACGGUACCUAAUCAGAAAGCCACGGCUAACUACGUG
Molecule: ribosomal RNA, 497 nt
Filed under: uncultured bacterium
Lineage: Bacteria
Description: partial 16S ribosomal RNA
Rfam family: Bacterial small subunit ribosomal RNA
Source: RNAcentral